GACGAACGCUGGCGGCGUGCUUAACACACGCAACUCGAACGGACCGGCCUGCUUUCCCUUGUGGAUUGCGGGUACUCGAGUGGCGAACGGGUGAGUAACACGUGAGUGAUCUGCCCCCAACUUGGGUAUAAGCCUGGGAAACUGGGUCUAAUUCCCGAUAGGACUGCAGGGUGGUGCUUGAGGUGGAAAACGAUCUUCUAGUGGAUGGGGAUGAGCUCGCGGCCUAUCAGCUUGUUGGUGGGGUCAUGGCCUACUAAGGUGGCGACGGGUAGCCGGCCUGAAGGGAGUGACGGCCACAUUGGGACUGAGAUACGGCCCUGACUCGUAGGGCGGGCAGGAUGGGGGGGUGUUACUCCAUGAGUGGAAGCCUAGUGCAGCGUCGCCAUGUUGGGAAUGACGGCCUGCGGGUUGUAAACUCCUGUCGAGCGCGGGUGAGGCUACUGGUUGGAGGGGUGGUGACGGUAGGGGUAGUAGAAGCUCCGACUAACUACGUG
This 494-nucleotide ribosomal RNA is filed under the name uncultured bacterium. Its description in RNAcentral is "partial 16S ribosomal RNA". It matches the Rfam family "Bacterial small subunit ribosomal RNA", at positions 28 to 507 of the family's 1533-position model. The record is from RNAcentral.